UUCUCCCAUUAAAUGGGUUGGCUUUCACCGUCUGCAUAGUGUGAAUUGAUAAACAGGAUGUUUCAAUUGAUGAGGUCAAACUUGUGUAUUUUUUUCUGAGCCCAACUGCUGAAAGGUCAGAGCACAGGGAGGGUGAAGGCAUGGGUGGUCCCACAACCAGUGCUGUAGAAAGGCCUGGAGGACAACAGACAGAAUCCUCCUGGGAGAGGAAGAUACACAGGCCUGCUGUUGACCCAGUGAAUCUAUCCUUGUCUCUAGUCCCUACAGGGAAAUCAGGGCCCAGGUCAGAGGUGGUGCUGGUGGCCAUCGGGGAAGUGGCUGUCAAGACCCUGUUCCUUCUCUGCCUCAUCGUCCUCAUAGUGAAGUAUCACAGGAGGCACAGGACCACAGCUUCAGGGAGCACACAGGAUGCAAACACCAUCCUGGGUUAAGGUCUCAGCACAGGCUUCCAGGCAGUGUUUCCAGAGACCGUGUUGUUCGCUUCCUGAAAAGUAUGACAGCAGCGUUUCCUGUCCGUGGCCAGAGACCCAGGUGCAAACACCACAGGCUGGAUUGGAGGGUCUGCUGUGGUCUGCCCCUGCUGGACUCCCUACCAGAUUCCACCACUCCCUGCAUCCCACACCAUCUCCACACCCAGCUGUGCUGUUUGUGACUUUAGACUCAUAUGUGCAGUUCCUUCUCCUGAAAUGCCCUUUCCUCCCCAUUUCUACAUUCCCAUGUGCUAAUAACGUUUCAGCCUCAGUUAAAAUUCACCCUUAUUGAGUGUGUGUGUGUGUGUGUGUGUGUGAUUCUUUAUGGUUUUGAGCAAUGGAAAAUCAAGUCAUCUAUUUACAUAUAGACUUCUUCAGCAAGUUAACUAAACACCUACUAUGUGCCAGCAUUGUUGUAGGUGACAGAAAUGCAAGAGGGCACAUCAUAUAAAAAUUUGUCAUCAAGAAGCUGUCAAUCUGGAGACAAGAAGAUAGAAACACAAAGAAAUG
Hipposideros armiger (great roundleaf bat) is the source of this 980-nucleotide long non-coding RNA. RefSeq lists it as uncharacterized. NCBI's taxonomy places the organism in Eukaryota, Metazoa, Chordata, Mammalia, Chiroptera, Hipposideridae. The record is from RefSeq and is a predicted model, not a curated record. The transcript is spliced from 3 exons.